This is a non-coding RNA of Apiotrichum porosum, 88 nucleotides long. The record is from the annotation of a RefSeq genome assembly. NCBI's taxonomy places the organism in Eukaryota, Fungi, Basidiomycota, Tremellomycetes, Trichosporonales, Trichosporonaceae.
GCGGCUGUAGUGUAGGUGGUUAUCACUGUUCGUUGUGGCUGAUUAGAUCAUAACUGAGCCAACCGCUGUUCGACUCAGCGCAGCCGCA